GACGAACGCUGGCGGCGUGCUUAACACAUGCAAGUCGAACGGAAAGGCCCUGCUUUUGUGGGGUGCUCGAGUGGCGAACGGGUGAGUAACACGUGAGUAACCUGCCCUUGACUUUGGGAUAACUUCAGGAAACUGGGGCUAAUACCGGAUAGGAGCUCCUGCUGCAUGGUGGGGGUUGGAAAGUUUCGGCGGUUGGGGAUGGACUCGCGGCUUAUCAGCUUGUUGGUGGGGUAGUGGCUUACCAAAGCUUUGACGGGUAGCCGACCUGCGAGGGUGACCGGCCACAUUAGGACUGAGAUACGGCCCAGACUCCUACGGGAGGCAGCGGUGGGGAAUAUUGCACAAUGGGCGGAAGCCUAAUGCAGCAACGCCGCGUGCGGGAUGACGGCCUUCGGGUUGUAAACCGCUUUCGCCUGUGACGAAGCGUGAGUGACGGUAAUGGGUAAAGAAGCACCGGCUAACUACGUG
RNAcentral lists this ribosomal RNA (468 nucleotides) under uncultured bacterium. RNAcentral's name for it is "partial 16S ribosomal RNA". It matches the Rfam family "Bacterial small subunit ribosomal RNA", at positions 28 to 507 of the family's 1533-position model. The record is from RNAcentral.